This is a long non-coding RNA of Oryzias javanicus (javanese ricefish), 3564 nucleotides long. The record is from Ensembl. Lineage: Eukaryota; Metazoa; Chordata; Actinopteri; Beloniformes; Adrianichthyidae.
CUUUAAGGCCGCUCUCACAUGAUGACGGUCUGUGGAGAAUCCUGAAGAAGAAGACUCCACACAAAAGAGCGCACUGUCUGCCGCAAAGGUCAGAGUUCACAACAAACGCACAACACUGGUUGGUUCUGCAGAAAAACUCUCUGGUGGUCCAAAAGCAGCAUCCACAGGUGAACUGAUGACGUCACAGAACCGCUCCUCAGGUGUCAAUGUGUGUGUCUAUGUGUGGUUGUGUUUGUUUGAGUGGUUGUGUGUGGUGUGCAUGUGGUCAUGUUGGCUAGGAUAGGCUCCAGCAUCAUCAGACAGAGAUCCCGUCAUUCCUGGUGAGGGGGAGCUGGGGGGGUCCGGGUCAGAUGCUCGUUUUUAACGUUGGUCGGAUCAGCUGAUCUUCAAUCAGUCGACCCCCACCAUAAUUUUCUAGAUGUAAAGCAGAAUUUGCUUUGCGUUUUAGGUGGGGGCUAUGUGUAUGUAUAGAUAUGUGCGGGGGUGGGGGUGGUUUCUAGUAAUUUCUGAGGAAAUUUAUAGCAAACGGAGGUGAGACUUCAAAACCGCUGCUUGGGGGCGGAGCUUAGCCGGAACGACGCCCCCCCGCUCCCGCUCCCUCUCACCUCCCGGUGUGGCGGCGGACGGGGGGAGGCCAGUCGCGGAGUUUCUAUCGAGAGGAGAAGUUUGGACAUGAACGCGUCCCGCGGGCUGACACAGGCUGAUCUCUGAGCCCCUCCCCGGCCGGUGGCACCAUGACGCUCCUCCGCUGCGCCCCGUGGAGCGCCCUGCUCCUCGCGGCUCUGCUGCAGAUCUGCCAAGCAGACUGUGAGCAAAAGUGUGAACCUCAGAAUUUAACAGAGUUGAUAAUAGUAACCACCAGCAUCAGUUUAAACCAUCCAGCCAACUGCACAUUAUCCACCGGUAACCAAACAAAAGAAGGAACACUGACUGAUCUGUUCCCUGGAACCGUCUAUGAAGUCAACUUUAAAUGUUUUAACUGCUGUGGAAAUAUCACAACCAAACCGGAUAAAGUCAGAAACCUCACUGUUACUGAAGUCACCACUGUCUCUAUGACUCUGAGCUGGAUGGAACCAUUGGGAAACAGUUCAUUCUAUGAAGUACAAUGGUCAGAUGGAUCAUCUACUCUAAAAGACAAUGUGACUGAUAAAAACAUGAUUAUAUCUAACCUGACUGCUGGUGUCCAGUAUGGCAUAAAUGUCACAGCUGUGGCUGCAGAUAAGCAAACUAAAGGAGAGAGUGUGUUUACCUCCAACUAUACAAAACCAGAUACAGUCAGUGACGUCACUGUUACUGAUUCCACCACGUCCUCUAUAUCUCUGAACUGGACCAACCCAUCAGGAAACAGCUCCCCUAAUACAGUAGAACAGUCAGAUGGACCAACUACUCUAAAUCUCGUUGUAACUGAUAAGAGCACCACUAUAUCUUACCAGACCACUGGUGUCCAGAACACCACAAGUGUCACAGACAUUCCAGCAGAUAAUCAAACUAAAGAAAAUAGUUUGUUAACUACCAGUUAUACACGUAAGUAAAGAUGGAAAACAGUUAAACUUGCUGAGAAAUGUGUGCAAACAAUAACCUUAAAUUAGUCCUAUGCUAUUUUGGAAAUAGAAAGUCAUGAUUAACUUAAAACCAAAUGAGCCAUUUUUCAAAAGAAUGACUCAAUACCUUACAAAAUGUGAACCACAGAGAAGGGUUGGAACAUUUAAUUAAAAAUGUUGGAAUGUUCUCUAAAACAGUGACACCAAAAUAAACAUUCAAAUUGAAGAACAAAAUGAAAUGUACCUAAAAGAAAAGUUUAGGAGACAAAUGAUGGUGUUUAUAUACAACGUAUUUGGAUGGAUGGAUGGAUGGAUGGAUGGAUGGAUGGAUGGAUGGAUGGAUGGAUAAAGAUAUAGAGGUAUGUAUGUCUAGAUCAGGGGUCUGAAACCUGUGGCUCCAGAGCCACAUGUGGAUCUUUUAUCUCUUCAUGGUGGCUCUCUGGCUGAAGAAAAAUAAAAUAGUAAUUUUCACAAAAAUUGGAGAUUAGCUAUUAUUUUAGCAACAUGCUAACGUUUUUGGUUAAAUUUUUAUCUAUUUUGGCUAAUUUAGAGUUUAAGCUUCUAUUUUAUCAACAUGCUAACAUUUUUGACAAAAUUAGUUUACUGAAGAAUUUUAUGCUAAUUUGGAGUUUAGCUAGCAAUUACGCAACAAGCUAGCUUUUUUUUUUGGGCAAAUUUGGCCUCCAAUUAGUUUUUUAUGCCAAUUUGUUGUUUAGCUAAUAUUUUAGCAAUUUGCUAACAUUUUUAGCUAAUUUCUUAUCUACGAGGGUUUUUAGGCUAAUUUAGAGUUUAAGCUUAUAUUUCAGCAACAUGUUAACAGUUUUGACUAAUUUAGUUUACUGAAGAAUUUUAUGCUAAUUUGGAUUUUAGCUAGUAUUUACGCAACAAGCUAGCGAAUUUGUCCUCUAAUUACUUUUUAUGCUAAUUUGUUGUUUCGCUAAUAUUUUAGCAAUAUGCUAACAUUUUUAGCUAAUUUAUUAUCUACUGGGGGUUUUAGGCUAAUUUUGAGUUUAGCUUUUAUUUCAGCAACAUGCUAACAUUUUUGGCUGAUUUAAUUUACAGAGAAAUGUUAUGCUCAUUUGAAGCUUAGCUAGUAAUUAAGCAACAAGCUAGCUUUUUUGCUACCAAAGGUAACGUAAAAAAAAUCCCUUUGAGAGAUACUAGUUUCUUUUUUAUAUUUUUUCUUUUGUUCGUGCCAAAAAUAGACAUUAUUCAUAAUUAUUUAAAAAAAGGUUAUAAAUGCAAAUCCAAAUUUCUUAAAGGCAAACGUAAGUCAAUGCGGCUCCUUUUAGGUUUUGAUCAGUAGAAAACGAGCCCAAAUGGCUCUUUUACUAUUAAAGGUUGCCGACCUCUGGUCUAGAGGAAAGAGACGUUGGAUGGAUUCAUAGAUGAAACGAUGGAUACAUGAUUAGAUGAAUUGAUGAAUAGAUAUAGAAAUGCAUGAGUUGAUGGAUGGUAAUUAUUUUACCUGUUUACCUAUUUUACUGUUUUAUGGUACAUUCCCAAGAUAAAUGUGUUUGUUUUUACUUGAUCUGUUUUGUAUAUAACAGAGGAAAAAAAGGUUUAAUUGGUAAAUUGUCCUGACCAGUAUGUGUUUGAAAAUGUCAGUUAUAGAAUAAAAUACCAUUUAAGAUUUCUGUAAUUUACACAACAGACAAAACUUGCUUUUUUUCCUGUUUUUCUCGAGUCUUUUGCUACUCUGUAGAGAAACGGAUCAUUUCAUGUUUACGACAGUUUUCAUCUUUUUAACUCCUCUUCCUUACAGAACCAGAUACAGUCAGUGACGUCACUGUUACUGAUUCCACCACGUCCUCUAUAUCUCUGAACUGGACCGAACCAUCAGGAAACAGCUCCCCUAAUACAGUAGAACAGUCAGAUGGACCAACUACUCUAAAUCCCGUUGUGACUGAUAAGAGCACCACUAUAUCUUACCAGACCACUGGUGUCCAGAACACCACAAGUGUCACAGACAUUCCAGCAGAUAAUCAAACUAAAGAAAAUAGUUUAACUACCAGUUAUACAC